This 253-nucleotide ribosomal RNA is filed under the name uncultured prokaryote. RNAcentral describes it as "partial 16S ribosomal RNA". It matches the Rfam family "Bacterial small subunit ribosomal RNA", at positions 524 to 777 of the family's 1533-position model. The record is from RNAcentral.
UACGGAGGAUGCAAGCGUUAUCCGGAUUUAUUAGGUUUAAAGGGUGCGCAGGUUGUUUGAUAAGUCAGUGGUGAAAGUCUGUCGCUUAACGGUAGGAUUGCCAUUGAUACUGUUAGACUUGAAUAUGGAUGAGGUGGCGGAAUGUGUAGUGUAGCGGUGAAAUGCAUAGAUAUUACACAGAACACCGAUUGCGAAGGCAGCCUACUAAUCCAUCAUUGACGCUGAGGCACGAAAGCGUGGGGAUCAAACAGGA